UGGCCAUGUUUAAACACCUGCAG
This 23-nucleotide unclassified non-coding RNA is filed under the name Mus musculus (house mouse). RNAcentral's name for it is "oocyte_clustered_small_RNA1144". The record is from RNAcentral. Lineage: Eukaryota; Metazoa; Chordata; Mammalia; Rodentia; Muridae.